UCCGGUUUGUCACCGGCAGUCUCCCUAGAGUGCCCUUGCGUAGCAACUAAUGACAAGGGUUGCGCUCGUUGCGGGACUUAACCCAACAUCUCACGACACGAGCUGAUGACAGCCAUGCAGCACCUGUGUUCCGAUUCCCUUUCGGGCACACCCCCAUCUCUGGAGGCUCUCGGACAUGUCAAGGGUAGGUAAGGUUUUUCGCGUUGCAUCGAAUUAAACCACAUCAUCCACCGCUUGUGCGGGUCCCCGUCAAUUCCUUUGAGUUUCAACCUCGCGGCCGUACUCCCCAGGCGGGGCACUUACUGCGUUAGCGACGGCACCGGGAGGGUCGCUCCCCCCGACGCCUAGUGCCCAUCGUUUACGGCGUGGACUAC
RNAcentral lists this unclassified non-coding RNA (374 nucleotides) under uncultured bacterium. Its description in RNAcentral is "contains 16S-23S intergenic spacer region". The record is from RNAcentral.